CGCCUAAUACACCUUUUAUCUUUCUCCGCCUCUCCUCUCUGACUUUUGCAAUCUCACCGCCAUGGGAAUCGCCGGGGAACUCACCGCCGAUCAGCUCAGCUUCUUCAAUUCCAACGGUAGCUUGACAUCAAAAGGAGAAGCCUUUUUCCGAUUCCUCCCGAUUUCCCUUUUCUUCAACCUGAAACUGACUGCAAUCGCUUGGUCUUGCAGGUUACCUCGCGGUUGAAUCGUUCGCCAGCUCGUUUGAAUUUGAUUCUUUUCCCCACUUGUGAAGUAAGUCAUAGUAGAGAGCAGCUGGUAUCUUGUACUUUACUAGUGUUUUUUUCCUAUUUAUUGCUGGCAGAUUGGGCCUUCAAGUAUCCUAUUCAUCUUGUCUUCAGAUGUGGGUUUCCAUUAAUAUAUUCCUUCUCUGUAGGAGAAAGUUGCUUACUUGGUACUUCACUAAUUAUUCCAUGUGUUUUGGAUUCUGAUCCUUCUCUGAAUCUGCAGCAGAGUCACGUUAAUGUAUUAAACUCCCUGCAACUUACGCUAUGCACAUCUCAAGGUGUACAGAAAUCAAGGACGCAUCGGAUGGUGGCAACUGGAAAUCUGCUGCCGGAUUCAUUAG
RNAcentral lists this long non-coding RNA (607 nucleotides) under Linum usitatissimum (flax). RNAcentral's name for it is "long non-coding RNA (LUSI_LNC006151)". The record is from RNAcentral. Lineage: Eukaryota; Viridiplantae; Streptophyta; Magnoliopsida; Malpighiales; Linaceae.